UUUGGUAUUGCUACCGCACAUGACUUCGAGAGUCAUGAUGAUAUUACUGAGGAACGUCUUUAUCAGAAUAUUUUUGCUUCUCAUUUCGGGCAAUUAGCAAUAAUUUUUCUGUGGACUUCCGGAAAUCUGUUUCAUGUAGCUUGGCAAGGAAAUUUUGAGGCAUGGGUACAGGAUCCUUUACAUGUAAGACCUAUUGCUCACGCAAUUUGGGAUCCUCAUUUUGGUCAACCAGCUAUAGAGGCUUUUACUCGUGGAGGUGCUCUUGGCCCGGUGAAUAUCGCUUAUUCUGGUGUUUAUCAGUGGUGGUAUACGAUUGGGUUACGUACUAAUGAGGAUCUUUAUACUGGAGCUCUUUUUCUAUUUAUUUCUUUCUGCCAUAUCCUUAAUAGCGGGUUGGUUACACCUACAACCCAAAUGGAAACCGAGCGUUUCGUGGUUUAAAAAUGACCGAAUCUCGUCUCAACCAUCAUUUGUCAGGACUUUUCGGAGUUAAGUUCCUUGGCUUGGACAGGACAUUUAGUUCAUGUCGCUAUUCCUGGAUCCAGGGGAGAAAACGUUCGGUGGAAUAAUUUCUUAGAUGUAUUGCCACAUCCCCAAGGAUUAGGCCCACUUUUUACAGGUCAGUGGAAUCUUUAUGCUCAAAACCCGGAUUCAAGUAGUCAUUUAUUUGGUACCUCCCAAGGGGCAGGAACUGCUAUUUUAACCCUUCUCGGAGGAUUCCACCCACAAACGCAAAGUUUAUGGCUUACUGAUAUGGCCCAUCAUCAUUUAGUCUAUUGCAUUUAUUUUUCUUGAUUGCUGGUCAUAUGUAUAGAACGAAUUUCGGGAUUGGGCACAGUAUAAAAAAUCUUUUAGAAGCGCAUAUUCCUCCAGGGGGACGAUUAGGGCGUGGGCAUAAGGGUCUUUAUGACACAAUCAACAAUUCGAUUCAUUUUCAAUUAGGCCUUGCUCUAGCCUCUUUGGGGGUUAUUACGUCUUUGGUCGCUCAACACAUGUAUUCUUUACCUGCUUAUGCGUUCAUAGCGCAAGACUUUACUACUCAAGCUGCGUUAUAUACUCAUCACCAAUACAUCGCAGGAUUUCAUUAUGACAGGGGCUUUUGCUCACGGAGCUAUAUUUUUUAUUAGAGAUUACAACCCGGAACAAAAUGAGGAUAAUGUAUUGGCAAGAAUGUUAGACCAUAAAGAAGCUAUC
Molecule: RNA transcript, 1194 nt
Organism: Fragaria vesca subsp. vesca
Lineage: Eukaryota; Viridiplantae; Streptophyta; Magnoliopsida; Rosales; Rosaceae
Gene name: photosystem I P700 chlorophyll a apoprotein A2-like
Exons: 1
Source: RefSeq, a predicted model, not a curated record